AUGGCGCCGUCGUACGACAAGACCAUCGCCACGGCAGCCUCGCUCGCGGCGUCCCUGAUGCUCGUCCGCAGCCUCGCAAACGAGCUGCUGCCGUCCGAGGUGCGCGACGCGCUGUCCUCAGCCCUCGCCAGCCUCCGCUCGCGCAUGACGUGGCAGCACACCAUCGUCAUCGAGGAGACCGAGGGCUGGUCCAGCAACCGCGUCUACAACGCCGUCAAGGCCUACCUGGCCACGCGCAUCAACGCCAACAUCAACAUGCAGCGCCUGCGCGUCAGCAGCGGCGACGACGCUGAGAAGAUGGUCGUCAGCAUGGAGGCCGGGGAGGAGAUGGCAGAUUUGUACGAAGGAGCGGAGUUCAAGUGGUGCCUGGUCACCCGCGAGGUUAGUGGUGACCCGAACAACGGCGGCGGCGGGGCCCGGGAGAUCAGGUCCUACGAGGUGAGCUUCCACAGGCGGCACAAGGAGAAGGCGCUUAAGGAGUACCUCCCGUUCAUCGUCGCCACGGCCAAGGCCAUCAAGGACCAGGAGAGGAGCCUUAGCAUCUACAUGAACGAGCGCUACGACGAGUGGUCCCCGAUUGGCCUCCAGCACCCCUCCACCUUCGACACCCUUGCCAUGGAUCACAAGCAGAAACAGUCGAUUGUCGACGACCUUAACAGGUUCAUCAAGAGGAAGGACUACUACAGGAGGAUCGGCAAGGCAUGGAAGCGCGGGUACCUGCUGUACGGCCCUCCAGGUACCGGCAAGUCCAGCCUCAUCGCCGCCAUUGCCAACCACCUCAGGUUCGACAUCUACGACCUCGAGCUCACCGGGGUCGACUCCAACUCCGACCUUAGGAGGCUUCUUGUCGGAAUGACCAACCGGUCCAUUCUCGUGGUUGAGGACAUCGACUGCACCAUCGAACUGAAGCAGCGGGAGGAAGAAGACGAGGAGCAAUCCAAGUCCAGUUCUACAGAAAAGAAGAAGGCAGAAGACAAGGUCACACUGUCUGGGCUGCUCAAUUUUGUCGAUGGCUUGUGGUCGACAAGUGGGGAGGAAAGGAUCAUCAUCUUCACGACCAACUACAAGGAGCGUCUUGACCCGGCACUUCUGCGGCCUGGCAGGAUGGACAUGCACAUCCACAUGGGGUACUGCACCACGGAGGCUUUCCGAAUUCUUGCCAACAACUACCAUUCCAUCGACUACCAUGCCACCUAUACAGAGAUCGAGAAGCUGAUCGAGGAGGUGACGGUGACGCCUGCAGAGGUUGCCGAGGUCCUGAUGAGGAACGACGACACUGAUGUUGCGCUCCAUGAUCUUGUCAAGCUCCUAAAGUUAAAGAAGAAAGAUGCCUCUGAGAUCAAGACUGAAAGUAAGAAGACGGAGAAGAAAGAUGCCACUGAUGACAUCAAGAUUGAGGGUACGCAGGUGGAUGGGAAGAAAGAUGGUGGUGAGAUCAAGACUGGAAGUGUGCAGGUGGAGGAGAAGAAAGAUGACAAAGAGGUGGUGGUAAAGAAUGUUCUUACAGAAAACGGAAGUAGUUAA
This 1524-nucleotide ribosomal RNA is filed under the name Triticum aestivum (bread wheat). Its description in RNAcentral is "partial small subunit ribosomal RNA". Lineage: Eukaryota; Viridiplantae; Streptophyta; Magnoliopsida; Poales; Poaceae. The record is from RNAcentral.